RNAcentral lists this ribosomal RNA (401 nucleotides) under uncultured bacterium. Its description in RNAcentral is "bacterial SSU rRNA". It matches the Rfam family "Bacterial small subunit ribosomal RNA", at positions 355 to 773 of the family's 1533-position model. The record is from RNAcentral.
UGGGGAAUAUUGCACAAUGGGCGAAAGCCUGAUGCAGCAGCGCCGCGUGAGUGAUGAAGGCCUUCGGGUUGUAAAGCUCUGUCUUCUGGGACGAUAAUGACGGUACCAGAGGAGGAAGCCACGGCUAACUACGUGCCAGCAGCCGCGGUAAUACGUAGGUGGCAAGCGUUGUCCGGAUUUACUGGGCGUAAAGGAUGCGUAGGCGGAUACUUAAGUCAGAUGUGAAAAUCCCGGGCUUAACUUGGGAACUGCAUUUGAAACUGGGUAUCUAGAGUGCGGGAGAGGAAAGUGGAAUUCCUAGUGUAGCGGUGAAAUGCGUAGAGAUUAGGAAGAACACCAGUGGCGAAGGCGACUUUCUGGACCGUAACUGACGCUGAGGCAUGAAAGCGUGGGGAGCAAAC